RNAcentral lists this ribosomal RNA (492 nucleotides) under uncultured bacterium. RNAcentral describes it as "partial 16S ribosomal RNA". It matches the Rfam family "Bacterial small subunit ribosomal RNA", at positions 29 to 507 of the family's 1533-position model. The record is from RNAcentral.
AGUGAACGCUGGCGGUAGGCCUAACACAUGCAAGUCGAACGGCAGCACAGUAAGAGCUUGCUCUUACGGGUGGCGAGUGGCGGACGGGUGAGGAAUACAUCGGAAUCUACUUUUUCGUGGGGGAUAACGUAGGGAAACUUACGCUAAUACCGCAUACGACCUACGGGUGAAAGCAGGGGAUCUUCGGACCUUGCGCGAUUGAAUGAGCCGAUGUCGGAUUAGCUAGUUGGCGGGGUAAAGGCCCACCAAGGCGACGAUCCGUAGCUGGUCUGAGAGGAUGAUCAGCCACAAUGGAACUGAGACACGGUCCAGACUCCUACGGGAGGCAGCAGUGGGGAAUAUUGGACAAUGGGCGCAAGCCUGAUCCAGCCAUACCGCGUGGGUGAAGAAGGCCUUCGGGUUGUAAAGCCCUUUUGUUGGGAAAGAGAAGCAGCAGGUUAAUACCCCGCUGUUCUGACGGUACCCAAAGAAUAAGCACCGGCUAACUUCGUG